UGGGGCAGAGAAGUUGGAAAGAACAAAAAUACUCAAGGCAGUGAACAGCCUCCCAGGUCUCCGGCAGCAGGCAGGAAUGCCAGUGGCCUGGAGGUAUUUCCACAGGGGCCUGUUUGUGAGCAGUUUCUGAAGUUCUUUGCCCUCAUCUUGAGGGGUGGAGAAAUGACCUGCUUAUGUGGCAGGUUUGCAGGGCAGGGGGUGCAGAAUAAGAACUAGAGAAAACAAGUCAGAAAGGUAACCCCUGCUCUGUAAAUGAUUCCAAAAUAUGAAAUACUUAUUCCAAAAACUUUACUGAGCAUUCUAUAUGUGCAAGACACUGAGACAGGUGUUACAAGAAGGCAAAGAUAAAGUAGACAUAGAUUUGAGCUCAAGAAUUUCUUCGUCAAAUAGGGCAUGAGAAAGACACACAGAUACCUAUGGGAUGUAGAAAGCUCCAGUAGCUAUCCAGGAAGGUCUUCAGGAACCCCACUGCAUGACCGCAAGAGAGAACCAGCCACUGCAGGCGAGGGGAGGACGGCCUGCGCACGUGGAAUCAUUUUGGGAAGAAGGAGGAUCACCAGAGUUGGAGUCUCACCAUAUUGACCAGGCUGUCCUCAAA
This is a non-coding RNA of Macaca mulatta (Rhesus monkey), 598 nucleotides long. Lineage: Eukaryota; Metazoa; Chordata; Mammalia; Primates; Cercopithecidae. The record is from RefSeq and is a predicted model, not a curated record.